GUGCUGAGCCUGGCCUUGGCCCAGAAGCUCUACCCCGAGGGAGAUUGUGGAGCAAGACUUCAACAUGACCAGGGCCGCAGGGUCCUGGUCCUCCAUCUCCUUGGCCUCUGACAACGUGAUGUGGAUCGGAGUCAAUGGGGACCUGCACCUCUUCAUUCGGACCAUCGAGCUGCUACUGAACAGCAGCCUCCUGUUUCAUUUCCGCUUCUGACCGGGGGAAAACAAGGGUGCUCAUCUUGGAGACUGACUACUGGAUGUACAUCAUCUUCUACCUGAGGAGCGUCCGGUUCGCGCAUCGAGACCCAAGUGCUGGCGCUCUACGGGCGCAUCCCAGUGCUCAGCGACCCCUUGCUGGACAGAUUUGAAAAGGCCUACAGGAAGUACGGGAUGGGUCCAAGAAACACCAUCAAUCUGGCCGAGAAAGAUCUCUGCCAGUACUAGUGGAAGAGGGGAGCUGGCCCAGCCUUAGGGUGAGUGGGCUCUGACGGGCGUGGGAUGGGCAUGGUGGGGUGGCGGGGGGGCCCCGGAUGGCGGUGGCUUGGUGUCAGAGGCCAGGGUCUCAGCUCAGAAGGGCCACAGGUGCAUUUCUCCAAGCCCAUCCCUCACCGGACUGCUGGGUUUUCCUGGAACACAGAGAGUGUGGUGGCUGGUGGAGUGCUGAACACUCCCAGGUCGGGUUUCCCGGGGCCUUGUGGGCUGCAGUCGGGGCAGCACAGGAUGUGAGCCGCAGGAGGGCGCUGUGCAGUGAAGACUUACUCUCUCGAAGCUCUGCAGUCUGCCUGUCCAGGACCCAGGUGUUGAGAGGCCGAACCCCCCAGGGCUCCAGGGUCCUCCUGGCUCAUCCAGCUGCUGGUGGCUCCAGGUGGCCCAUGGCUCAGCCUGGCUCACCCGAACCUCUGCCUCUGUGUACACGCGGCCCCAACUUCCUGUGGCUGCUCUUCCACCUCCCUGUAAUGAUGCUGUCUUAGCUCUGGGGCCCAGAAGCGGAGGCCUCUCACCCAGCACCCUGACUCUAGCACAUCUGUAGGAGCCUUUUCCAAAUAAACCUCAUCCUUAGGUCCAG
This 1063-nucleotide long non-coding RNA is filed under the name Heterocephalus glaber (naked mole-rat). Its description in RNAcentral is "lncRNA (ENSHGLG00100049073.1)". Lineage: Eukaryota; Metazoa; Chordata; Mammalia; Rodentia; Bathyergidae. The record is from RNAcentral.